This 66-nucleotide transfer RNA is filed under the name Macoma balthica. RNAcentral describes it as "Limecola balthica tRNA-Ala". Lineage: Eukaryota; Metazoa; Mollusca; Bivalvia; Cardiida; Tellinidae. The record is from RNAcentral.
AGUGCUAUACUUUAAGGUAAAAGGUUAAGUUUGCAGCUUAUAAAUGGGGCUUUGCCUCUGGCGCUA